AUGCUGGCGGCAGGCCUAACACAUGCAAGCUGAGCGGUAGCACAGGAGAGCUUGCUCUCUGGGUGACGAGCGGCGGACGGGUGAGUAAUGUCUGGGAAACUGCCUGAUGGAGGGGGAUAACUACUGGAAACGGUAGCUAAUACCGCAUGACCUCGCAAGAGCAAAGUGGGGGACCUUCGGGCCUCACGCCAUCGGAUGUGCCCAGAUGGGAUUAGCUAGUAGGUGGGGUAAUGGCUCACCUAGGCGACGAUCCCUAGCUGGUCUGAGAGGAUGACCAGCCACACUGGAACUGAGACACGGUCCAGACUCCUACGGGAGGCAGCAGUGGGGAAUAUUGCACAAUGGGCGCAAGCCUGAUGCAGCCAUGCCGCGUGUGUGAAGAAGGCCUUAGGGUUGUAAAGCACUUUCAGCGAGGAGGAAGGCGUUGUAGUUAAUAGCUGCAACGAUUGACGUUACUCGCAGAAGAAGCACCGGCUAACUCCGUGCCAGCAGCCGCGGUAAUACGGAGGGUGCAAGCGUUAAUCGGAAUUACUGGGCGUAAAGCGCGCGUAGGUGGUUUGUUAAGUUGGAUGUGAAAUCCCCGGGCUCAACCUGGGAACUGCAUUCAAAACUGACUGACUAGAGUAUGGUAGAGGGUGGUGGAAUUUCCUGUGUAGCGGUGAAAUGCGUAGAUAUAGGAAGGAACACCAGUGGCGAAGGCGACCACCUGGACUAAUACUGACACUGAGGUGCGAAAGCGUGGGGAGCAAAC
RNAcentral lists this ribosomal RNA (751 nucleotides) under uncultured bacterium. Its description in RNAcentral is "bacterial SSU rRNA". It matches the Rfam family "Bacterial small subunit ribosomal RNA", at positions 33 to 773 of the family's 1533-position model. The record is from RNAcentral.